UCACGAAAGUGAAUUGUACUAGAAGUCUGCAGGCUGACCCCGCAAGGGAGGCAGCGGCCCAAGGUAUGAUCCAUGAUUGGGGUG
This 84-nucleotide ribosomal RNA is filed under the name uncultured bacterium. Its description in RNAcentral is "partial 16S ribosomal RNA". The record is from RNAcentral.